This 447-nucleotide ribosomal RNA is filed under the name uncultured bacterium. RNAcentral describes it as "bacterial SSU rRNA". It matches the Rfam family "Bacterial small subunit ribosomal RNA", at positions 28 to 457 of the family's 1533-position model. The record is from RNAcentral.
GAUGAACGCUGGCGGCGUGCUUAACACAUGCAAGUCGAGCGAAGCGCUUUGGAAAGAUUCUUCGGAUGAUUUCCUUAGUGACUGAGCGGCGGACGGGUGAGUAACGCGUGGGUAACCUGCCUCAUACAGGGGGAUAACAGUUAGAAAUGACUGCUAAUACCGCAUAAGACCACGGUACCGCAUGGUACAGUGGUAAAAACUCCGGUGGUAUGAGAUGGACCCGCGUCUGAUUAGGUAGUUGGUGGGGUAACGGCCUACCAAGCCGACGAUCAGUAGCCGACCUGAGAGGGUGACCGGCCACAUUGGGACUGAGACACGGCCCAGACUCCUACGGGAGGCAGCAGUGGGGAAUAUUGCACAAUGGAGGAAACUCUGAUGCAGCGACGCCGCGUGAAGGAUGAAGUAUUUCGGUAUGUAAACUUCUAUCAGCAGGGAAGAAAAUGACGG